This 539-nucleotide ribosomal RNA is filed under the name Phagocata sibirica. RNAcentral's name for it is "SSU rRNA". It matches the Rfam family "Eukaryotic small subunit ribosomal RNA", at positions 23 to 562 of the family's 1831-position model. Lineage: Eukaryota; Metazoa; Platyhelminthes; Tricladida; Planariidae. The record is from RNAcentral.
GUCAUAUGCUUAUCUCAAAGAUUAAGCCAUGCAUGUCUAAGUACACAGACUAGUACUCUGAAACCGCGGAUGGCUCAUUAUAACAGCUAUGAUUUGAGAGAUUUAAUGCUUGCUACAGGAUAACUGUGGUAAUUCUAGAGCUAAUAUUUGAAAAAAUGCCGUGACUUCGGAAGCGGCGGAUUUAUUAGAUCAAAAUCAACCUACCGGCAACGGUGGUCUCUUGAUGACUCUGGAUAACUGAACUGAUCGUACAGCCUUGUGUUGACGACAUAUCUCUUGAAAUGGCUGACCUAUCAACUUUCGAUGGUAAGAUCAAAGCUUACCAUGGUUGUAACGGGUAACGGGGAAUCAGGGUUCGAUUCCGGAGAGGGAGCCUGAGAAACGGCUACCACAUCCACGGAAGGCAGCAGGCGCGUAAAUUACCCAAUACCAGCUCGGUGAGGUAGUGACAAUAAAUAACAAUAUGAGCCCUAGUGGUUUCAUAAUUGCAAUGAGAACAUUUUAAAUACUUUAUCAAGUAUCAAUUGGAGGGCAAGUCU